This 2081-nucleotide ribosomal RNA is filed under the name activated sludge metagenome. Its description in RNAcentral is "bacterial LSU rRNA". It matches the Rfam family "Bacterial large subunit ribosomal RNA", at positions 3 to 2002 of the family's 2925-position model. The record is from RNAcentral.
CCAAGCUACUAAGGGCUUGUGGUGGAUGCCUUGGCACCGAGAGGCGAUGAAGGACGUAGCUACCUGCGAUAAGCCACGAGUAUCUGGAAGCAAGAUUAUCCGUGGAUUUCCGAAUGGGGAAACCCCGCCGGUGAAUGCCGGUGAGCCUUAGCUGAAUACAUAGGCUAAUGGCGGCCAACCCGGGGAAGUGAAACAUCUCAGUACCCGGAGGAAAAGAAAGCAAUUAGCAACUCCGUGAGUAGUGGCGAGCGAAAGCGGAAGAGCCCAAACCACUGGCAUGUCAAAGGCCAGUCCCGUUGUGUCAGUGGGGUUGUGGGAUUAUCUCGGAGUGGGUCUGGACACUCCAGGAGGUUACAAAACCGUAUCUUAGUGGAACACGACUGGAUAAGUCGGGCCAUAGAAGGUGAUAGCCCCGUACACAAAAAGAGCACGGUCCUCUGGAUAAUAUCCCAAGUAACACGGGUCAAGUGGAAUCCUGUGUGAAUCUGGGAGAACCAUCUCCUAAGGCUAAGUACUACUCGGUGACCGAUAGUGAACCAGUACCGUGAGGGAAAGGUGAAAAGCACCCCGAACAGGGGAGUGAAAUAGAACCUGAAACCACAAGCCUACAAUCAGUGAGAGGGCUAUGGGUGGCUUAUGCCACCAAUGCCUGAUCGCGUGCCUUUUGCAUAAUGAGCCGGCGAGUUACUUUGCGUAGCAAGGUUAAGGGCUUUUAGUCCGAAGCCAUAGCGAAAGCGAGUCCGAAUAGGGCAUUGAGUUACGCAGAGUAGACCCGAAACCGUGUGAUCUACCCAUGGCCAGAAUGAAGUCCCUGUAAUAGGGGAUGGAGGUUCGAACUAAUGGCGGUUGAAAACGCUUUGGAUGAGCUGUGGGUAGGGGUGAAAGACUAAACAAACUCGGUUAUAGCUGGUUCUCCCCGAAAUGCCUUUAGGGGCAGCGUCGUGAAGUAAUUUGCGGGGGUAGAGCACUGGAUGGGCUAGGGGUCUUACCAGACUGCUGAACCCAACCAAACUCCGAAUACCGCAGAUGGUAUCACGGCAGUGAGAACAUGGGGGAUAAGCUCCAUGCUCGAGAGGGAAACAACCCAGAUCGCCAGCUAAGGUCCCUAAUAUACGCUAAGUGGAAAACGAAGUGUAACCGCGAAAACAACCAGGAUGUUGGCUUAGAAGCAGCCAUUCAUUUAAAGAGUGCGUAAUAGCUCACUGGUCGAGCGGCUAUGCGCGGAAGAUGUAACGGGGCUUAAGCGUGUAACCGAAGCUGCGACUUGCCAUCUUAGAUGGCAGGGGUAGGGGAGCAUUCUAUACGGGUAGAAGCAUGACCGAAAGGACAUGUGGACUGUAUAGAAGCGAUCAUGCCGGCAUUAGUAACGAUAAGGAAGGCGAGAAUCCUUCCCGCCGAAAGUCCAAGGGUUCCCGGGGCAGGUGAUUCCCCCCGGGGUUAGUCGGACCCUAAGCCGAGGCCGAAAGGCGUAGGUGAUGGAAAGCAGGCACAAAGAUUCCUGCACCACCUCCCAACCGUUAUCAGCAAUGGGGUAACGCAGGAGGAUAGAACCAGCGUCCAUGUGGUGGACGUCUGCAUAUAUAGGCUGUGUCCCAGGCAAAUCCAGGACACAUAUAAGCCGAGGUAUGUGGCAAGUGGAUCCUUCGGGUGAAGCAAGUGGUUUGAUUCCACACUGCCAAGAAAAACCUCUAGCGAGGUUGGAGGUGCCCGUACCGGAAACCGACACAGGUGGACGAGGAGAGUAUCCUAAGGCGCUCGGGUGAUCCACCCUUAAGGAACUCGACCAAUUGACCCCGUAACUUUGGAAGAAGGGGUACUUUUGUCGUGUAGGGACUUGCUCCUGAAGCGAUAAAAGUGGCACUGAAGUGGCUCGGGCGACUGUUUAUCAAAAACACAGGUCUCUGCAAACUCAUAAGAGUAUGUAUAGGGACUGACGCCUGCCCAAUGCCGGAAGGUUAAGGGGAGGAGUUAGCGCAAGCGACGCUCUGAACUGAAGCCCCGGUCAAUGGCGGCCGUAACUAUAACGGUCCUAAGGUAGCGAAAUUCCUUGUCGGGUAAGUUCCGACCUGCACGAAUGGCGU